Molecule: long non-coding RNA, 226 nt
Organism: Homalodisca vitripennis (glassy-winged sharpshooter)
Lineage: Eukaryota; Metazoa; Arthropoda; Insecta; Hemiptera; Cicadellidae
Exons: 2
Source: RefSeq, a predicted model, not a curated record
CUCAAAAGUUUGUUGUGGUGUGAACCAAGUUGAUGUUUCUAUGAAACAAGAAUAAUCUAGCCUUUUUAAAUACCUCAAGAUGCCGAGGACUUAUAAAAGAGAUCCGAGGGCCAAACAUCACCGCCCUGUUGAUGAAGAAGCCAUAAAACGAGCACUAGAUGCCGUGGCAAAAGGCAUGUCUAUUAGAAAAGCUGAAGAGCAGUUUAAAAUCUCAAAAUCAGCGCUG